GAUCAUGGCUCAGAUUGAACGCUGGCGGCAGGCCUAACACAUGCAAGUCGAAUGGUAACAGGAAACAGCUUGCUGUUUCGCUGACGAGUGGCGGACGGGUGAGUAAUGUCUGGGAAACUGCCUGAUGGAGGGGGAUAACUACUGGAAACGGUAGCUAAUACCGCAUAACGUCGCAAGACCAAAAGAGGGGGGACCCUUCGGGCCUCUUGCCAUCGGAUGUGCCCAGAUGGGAUUAG
This 236-nucleotide ribosomal RNA is filed under the name uncultured bacterium. RNAcentral's name for it is "partial 16S ribosomal RNA". It matches the Rfam family "Bacterial small subunit ribosomal RNA", at positions 15 to 244 of the family's 1533-position model. The record is from RNAcentral.